This is a non-coding RNA of Ciona savignyi (Pacific transparent sea squirt), 119 nucleotides long. NCBI's taxonomy places the organism in Eukaryota, Metazoa, Chordata, Ascidiacea, Phlebobranchia, Cionidae. The record is from Rfam.
GCUUAUCAAUAUUCCAGAUUGAAUAUACCCGAUCUCGUCUGAUCUCGGAAGUCAAGCAAUCUCGGGCUUGGUUAGUACUUGGAUGGGUGACCGCUUGGGAAUACCAAGUGUGAUAAGCA